Molecule: ribosomal RNA, 253 nt
Filed under: uncultured bacterium
Lineage: Bacteria
Description: partial 16S ribosomal RNA
Rfam family: Bacterial small subunit ribosomal RNA
Source: RNAcentral
UACGUAGGGUGCGAGCGUUAAUCGGAAUUACUGGGCGUAAAGCGUGCGCAGGCGGUGUGUUAAGUCUGAUGUGAAAGCCCCGGGCUCAACCUGGGAAUGGCAUUGGAAACUGGCUCGCUGGAGUAUGGCAGAGGGAGGUGGAAUUCCGCAUGUAGCGGUGAAAUGCGAAGAGAUGCGGAGGAACACCGAUGGCGAAGGCAGCCCCCUGGGCCAAUACUGACGCUCAGGCACGAAAGCGUGGGGAGCAAACAGG